This is a long non-coding RNA of Cyprinus carpio (common carp), 2691 nucleotides long. RefSeq lists it as uncharacterized. The transcript is spliced from 5 exons. The record is from RefSeq and is a predicted model, not a curated record. Lineage: Eukaryota; Metazoa; Chordata; Actinopteri; Cypriniformes; Cyprinidae.
CCGGCUGUCGCGUGCACAUUGCUACACUUGCUUCUCGCAAGCAACUCGAGAGCGAAAGAAGGGGAAGCUAGACUAUUUGAAGAGCCGGGCCUAGGCGAUUUUGAUCAAAGUUGGCUUUUUGUUAGCGAAUUUUAAUGCAUUGCUUUCGGUAUUCACGUAUGUUGUUGUGAAAACGCCAGUAAGGCUCUUUUCAGUCUGUCCAAAAGUCUAGUAUUGGUCAUAGUGACGGACACCUCCUUGAUCCUGUGUUGUGUUUACAAUCUAACACAGCAGCAGCUCUAUUGGACUGGGGUCUUGUUACAGCAGAUGUGCUUUUGUGAGUCCAUAGUUCCCCUGAGGACCACCGCCCUUCCUUUAUAGCAGCCUGCCUGUCCCCACUUCAGCAUUCCCAUUCAUCUCUAAAUAAGGAAGAGAGGGAUGAAGAAGGAAACAUGGUGAACUGAAUAAGAAAGGAAGCAAGGGGAAUCCAGAGCCUGCUCCAGGUCUGUGACAGCUAUGCCCUAAAAAGGAAAUGAAGUCUGUGGGCAUGAUGGGAGGGGCACCCAAAUGAAAGAGAGAGGCAGAAGCACAGGCCAGGUAAUGACAGACAGGUCUCUCUCUUGGAGACGGCAGUCCCAACCAAUUAGCUGCCACCUUGUUUUAAUUUAUGACUGUGUGAAUGAAGCUGGGGGAAACCACAAGAAUCCCCAAUCUAAUUAGCUGUCCCGUUGACCAUUCUGUUUACUACAGGUGUGGCCUGGCAGUAGUUAUUAUAUAUGAUGCAGUUGCACUAAAGGGUCAGUAGAUGGCGCAGCAGAGCCCCAAACAGCCACAAAAUCCACGUAAUGCUGCACCCAAAAAGAAACCGGCAGCUGCAAGGACAUGCAUUCCACCUCCUCAGAUCCUGUUCCCUAUCCAUCUGACACACUUUGCACAUGAAGAUCAAUGGAGCCAAGGGCAACGUGAAAGGGGAUCCAGGGCCAAGGAGGAGAGCAGAUUUGUGUUUUAUUUGUUCUGUGGCGCAGACCCGUUUGAUGUGACCCUCUCCUGUUUCAUUCAUCCGGAAAAUCUGCUGUGUGUGAGUGAAAACUGGGGGAGUGGGUCUCACUUGAUACUCAGAUGUAAUGAGGAACUGCCAGUCAUGUAUAAGGGACAGUUCACCCAAAAAUGUUUAAUUCUGUCAUCAUUUACUCCCCCUAAUGUCAUUCCAUACUUUCUUUCUUCUGUGGAACAUGAAAGAAGAUAUUUUGAGAAAUGUCUACAUGUUGUCAUUAUUAUUAUUAUUAUUAUUAUUUUGUCAUUACAAAGGUAGUCAAUGACAACCAAAACUUUUGUUACCAGAAUUCUUCAGAAUAUCUGAAUAUUUUAUGUGUAUUGCAGAAGAGAGAAAAUCCUACAGGUUUGCUACAACAUGAGGGGGAGUAGAAUUUUCUUUUUUUUUUUUUUUUUGGGUGAACUAUGCCUUUAAGAAAUAGCAGUAGCGUAAAACAUUGAAUGAAUUAAAAAUAGUAAAAGAUAUGGAAAUGUUGGUAUAUGAGUACUGUUUCCUGUCAGGGUCAUCUUACAGUACCAAUUUCUGAGGAUCUUGGUGAUGAUGUGUAAUUUUACUGAUCUUAAUUUCAUAUGCAUAGACUUCAGCUUUAUUAGGAAUUUACUCCUGAAAGUGUAAACACUGUACUUUUAUUUAGUUUGAGUGUAUUUUGAUCAGCCCCCAACACACCAACAUUGACUCAACGAAAAUGUGACUUUGGGCCAGGACGGUCUGUUUUGCAAACUGUCUUAGUUUCACAUACAUCUCACACUUUUUUUUAGCACAGAAGUCUCACACUUUCACAGUUCUCACAUUAAGUUUCUAUCGAAAUAGCAAAAGAUAAAACAGAGGAUGCAACAGGAAAAUUAGUUUGGGGUUUCCGAAAGCAUUGUAGUGCAUUGCUUGUUUAGACAUGACAGAGAUAUGACUGUUAUCUAGUCUUUUGUAAUUAACCUCCGGGCUUUCCUGUGUGCUCCUAAUUACUCUGCAUAAACAAUGUGGGAUCAGUGCUAAUCUGAAAGAGCCCAUUCAGUGGCUUUCAUGUGGGGCUUCUAAUGGGCUCUGCAUGCGGGGGAGUGUAGGCUGAUCCAGAGGAGGUGGUGGGGGGAGUUCACAGGAGGGAACUGUUGACAGAUCACCCACACAACUGGAUUCAGAAACCAGGGUUGAAGGCAUAAACUCGGCAUCACAUUAAACAGCCUGGUUCCUCUCGGAAGCCAUAACCACCAAACCCACACCAUAAACACAGGUCCUGCAAGUCUUAAUGCACAUAUGGCGAUGCAGACAAGGCUUACAGACUUUGAUUAGAUUAUAUUAGAUUACAAGUACAGCCAGUUAAAUGCACUUCACAUCCAACUAGAAGUAUAAAUUGUAGCAAAUAAAAGAUGCAAAUGCUGGACAAGUGUCAUUAUAGUGAAAGUGGUCAGUGCAGAAGAUAUGGAACAGAAUGUGUAACUGAAUGUCUCUGCAUUUUGAAAGCUUAGGGUUAGGUUAGAAACAAAGAAACUUCAUAAUGUAAAUGAAUUAGAACUAUUUCAGAUUGUAAUAAGCAAAUUAGUGACAUUGAUCACGUGACUGUAAAGAAGGUCAGAUGUUCUUCCAUUGAAGCUCAAGAUACUCUUUGGAUCUCAAAUCAUGCAGCGCAUGGUCAUCAGGUUUCAGUCAAUCUUGCUCGGGUUCUG